This 440-nucleotide ribosomal RNA is filed under the name uncultured bacterium. RNAcentral's name for it is "partial 16S ribosomal RNA". It matches the Rfam family "Bacterial small subunit ribosomal RNA", at positions 338 to 795 of the family's 1533-position model. The record is from RNAcentral.
CCUACGGGAGGCAGCAGUGGGGAAUAUUGCACAAUGGGGGAAACCCUGAUGCAGCGACGCCGCGUGAAGGAAGAAGUAUUUCGGUAUGUAAACUUCUAUCAGCAGGGAAGAAAAUGACGGUACCUGACUAAGAAGCCCCGGCUAACUACGUGCCAGCAGCCGCGGUAAUACGUAGGGGGCAAGCGUUAUCCGGCAUUACUGGGUGUAAAGGGUGCGUAGGCUGUUUAUCAAGUACGAAGUGAAAGCCCGGGGCUCAACUCCGGGACUGCUUUUGAAACUGUUGAACUAGAGUGCAGGAGAGGUAAGUGGAAUUCCUAGUGUAGCGGUGAAAUGCGUAGAUAUUAGGAGGAACACCAGUGGCGAAGGCGGCUUACUGGACUGUAACUGACGCUGAGGCUCGAAAGCGUGGGGAGCAAACAGGAUUAGAUACCCGGGUAGUC